RNAcentral lists this ribosomal RNA (357 nucleotides) under Triticum aestivum (bread wheat). RNAcentral's name for it is "partial small subunit ribosomal RNA". The record is from RNAcentral. Lineage: Eukaryota; Viridiplantae; Streptophyta; Magnoliopsida; Poales; Poaceae.
AUGGAGGCUCAAGAUCCCUCUUCAGCAGCAGCAGCUCCCCUGGACCUGUCUCUCACGCUAGCCCCCAUGUCUCUUUGGGCUGCUCAUCCUUCUGGCGGUGGCGGUCGCCGCCGCAGUGGUGGCGGCACGACAUCGAGGCUCUUCUCUUGCCUAUUCUGUGAGAGGAAGUUCUUCAAGUCGCAGGCACUAGGAGGCCACCAGAAUGCGCACAGGAAGGAGAGGGUGGUCGGCAGCUGGAACCCGCACCUCUACCUCCCUGACCAUCAUGGUGACGCCGCGCUGACCACUGCAACGGCGCGCCUUAAAAGCAACGACGACCACAAGCUGCAGGAGCUUGAUCUUAACCUCAAGCUUUGA